CUUCCUCCUUCUUUGACAUGACUAGCCUGGGGGAAAAAAUAAUACAAAAAAUUAUAACUUGUGAGAAGCAUUGUUGUCAUCAAGAUGGUGUUGACUUGACUUCCACACCACCAGAGUUUCUCAGUGGUUUUGCAGCAAAUGAAGUUGGGAGCUCUAGAAAUAGCAUAUUUCUCUUACAUACCCAUGACCCACUCAGGAAGCAGCAGCAUGCAAUAAUCAUGAAAUGAAUUUUUAAAGUGGGUUCCAAGGAAGAGUCAACAAAUGGCAAAACAGAUACCUAGAGCUAAGUACUACAGUCUGCUGAAGUCCACCUGGGAAGGCCAAAAUCAACCAAGGAUUUUCAAACCCUAAUCUUUAAGAGUCAGUAUGGAAGCUGGUCAUAGAACAGCAGCUAUGGAAAAACAUCUGCUUCUGACAAGCACGUCAACACCUCACUUAAGCAGAGCAACAGGGAGAGGGAUGCAGAGCCUGAACUUCAGCUGCAGUGCAGAUCAGAUCACAGAAGAGUCGUGUUCACUCUGCAAACCAUACAUCUUACACGUGAGUUUGAAUGCCAACAGCUGAACCAAAAUGCAGAAUUAUCAGUAGAUCACCUGAAAAUGUUAAGGAUGAAGCCUUCAAAGAAUUGUUAUGGAAGCUUUCAUAUAGAAAGUAAAUGCUUGUCCAAGAUUUAUAACAGAAACUCCAGUAGAUUUUAAUACAGUGAGUGAAGAUAUUCUUGGGGUGAUAUCAAAGAAUAAAAUCAGGCUUAUUUGUAACCCCACAGGGCUUCUGCUUUACCUUUCAUUCAGAGUAAAAUCCUACAUAUUACAGUUUGCUACAUGUCAGGUUUUGUUUCAUUAUUAUUCCUAGAUCCAUAUGUGGAGACUGAUACAGUAAGUUGGUAACAUACAGUAAAAAGGUGGCACCUGAAAAUGAGGUUCCUUGA
Molecule: long non-coding RNA, 928 nt
Organism: Myiozetetes cayanensis
Lineage: Eukaryota; Metazoa; Chordata; Aves; Passeriformes; Tyrannidae
Exons: 3
Source: RefSeq, a predicted model, not a curated record